AGGAAACGGACGCAUAAUGCCCCAGUAAGCGGAAGUUGUGGCCCUUGACGUCCCAGUAGAUGCUCCGCCCAUUCAAAUAGGAGAAGAGCACAGGCUGAGAGCACGAAGAAGGAGAACGGGGAAGCAGAGUGACUGCGACCAAGGGAAAUAGCGAGCAGAUGAUGUUGACAGGUCCGUGAUAAAAUGAGUAAAACUUUGCGAAAAAAACACGAUGAAUUUAUGUUCAUACGACAAAGCUGGACGUCGCUUUUGGAUCUUGGCAGACACCCCUGGUAAAAAGAUGAUGGAAGAAUUCUUAGUUCCAUAAUAUAACUAUGAAUUUGUUCCACAUACAUGCAAAGUGAAAGGAAGUGAAUGAAUGGAAGAUUCCAGUCAUCUGUCAAUUUGUGGGCGUUGUCAUGAGAUUGCUGGGAAAAGAAUACUGCUUGACCCCUACUGGACAAACAAGUGGAGACUACAGCUUUGUCGGGAAGAUGGCGGCUCUGAUUUUUGAUUUUGAAUUUGCAAAAUAACUUUUUGGUUUUGUUUUUAAUGUAACUUUGAUUGCAGUUGUAUUCUGCUGGUAAAUGUGUUUAAUUCCCCCGUUAUUUGAUAAUUUUUUUUUAAGUGUUUUUCUUUCAGCUAUUGAUUGUAUUAUUCUAAGUUGAAUAUACAUCAUUUAAUAUUUAAAUAAAAAUAUAGUUUUGAACGA
Long non-coding RNA from Tachysurus vachellii, 691 nucleotides. RefSeq lists it as uncharacterized. The transcript has 6 exons. The record is from RefSeq and is a predicted model, not a curated record. Lineage: Eukaryota; Metazoa; Chordata; Actinopteri; Siluriformes; Bagridae.